Molecule: ribosomal RNA, 364 nt
Filed under: Triticum aestivum (bread wheat)
Lineage: Eukaryota; Viridiplantae; Streptophyta; Magnoliopsida; Poales; Poaceae
Description: partial small subunit ribosomal RNA
Source: RNAcentral
GAAGAGCUCAAUUGGGAAGAAGAAAUUAAAUUUGAUCCAGGUAAAAGGAGAAGCAUAGAUGAGUACCAUCCGAAUCAGAGAGAUAUGGUAAGAAGGAAGUAUUUGGCCAAUGGCCCUUCUCAACCUCGUACUGCUGAUUUUGAAGUGACAGAAAUAUGUGGUAAAGAUAGAAGGUUCGUUCGGGAAUGGUUUGAUGAGUUUGAGAGCUGGACCGCGCAAGAAGAAAGAAGGUGGAUAUGAUGCAUUUGUUGCAAAUGGUUGGUCAAGUUGGAAUAAGAAAUAUAGAUUAAGGGAGCAUGUAGGAGACAUCAAUAGUGCUCACAACCAAGCAAAAAGAGAUUGUGAUGCUUUGCUGAAACAAAAG